Molecule: long non-coding RNA, 574 nt
Filed under: Heterocephalus glaber (naked mole-rat)
Lineage: Eukaryota; Metazoa; Chordata; Mammalia; Rodentia; Bathyergidae
Description: lncRNA (ENSHGLG00000025735.2)
Source: RNAcentral
CCCAAGACUCAGGAAAGUAUUGAAGGGAGAAUUGGAGCCCAAAGGCAGAUGAAGGUGACAGAUCUCAAUGAACAAGAGUGUGGUUGCAAACUGUGCUUUCUCCCUGAUCUGUGGCUAAUUGGAAAACUGCAUUCUCCCUGACUACUAGGUCAUGGCAUGAGCGAAGAGGCUUGGGCCUACAGAGGUGUGAUGAUGGUGGGGGACCCUGGCAGCUUCCACAGAGAAACACACCAGUUGAGUGGAGCAGGAGAUGCUGUGGGCUGCAGCAGCUGGAGGUGUUAGGAGGUCAGAUCAGAAGAGGCGGAUCACUGGGAGUGUGGCCCGAGGUGUAUCUCCUUCCAUGGCUCCUCCUUCCACUCUCUCCUUUCUCCAAGCCAGGCAGUGAGCAACUCUCCUCUACGUGCCCCUCUGUCCUGCCCUGGAGCCAGCCCACUAUGGACUGAAAUGUGAGCCAAAAUGAACGUCUCCUCCUUUAAGUUGCUGGUGGUGGGUAUUGUGUCUCAGUGAUGAGGGAAGUGACUAAGACAAAACUGUACAUGUUCUAUUUUAAAAAUUAAUUAAUUCUAUUACCAGC